UCUCCGUACGGGGAAGGAUGAGAAGCUUCGACCAAGGUUCGAUUCGAGCGCAGCGAGAAAGCGUUGCCGCAGGCAACGACCCGAAGGGCGAAGCGCGCAGCGCUGAGUCAUCCUUCCCCCACCACCA
RNAcentral lists this small RNA (127 nucleotides) under Salmonella enterica. Its description in RNAcentral is "partial RtT sRNA". It matches the Rfam family "RtT RNA". Rfam says of the family: This family represents a bacterial cis-regulatory element known as RtT RNA. The record is from RNAcentral. RNAcentral also lists the same sequence under 3 other names. Lineage: Bacteria; Pseudomonadati; Pseudomonadota; Gammaproteobacteria; Enterobacterales; Enterobacteriaceae.